Molecule: long non-coding RNA, 507 nt
Filed under: Mytilus galloprovincialis (Mediterranean mussel)
Lineage: Eukaryota; Metazoa; Mollusca; Bivalvia; Mytilida; Mytilidae
Source: RNAcentral
UUUAUAGUUUCCACAUUAGACAGUGACAGUUCUCUGUCACAUAUAUUUUUUAGCAUCAGACGGUUCAUGUCACAGGAGUUGAUCAAAACGGAACUUCACUUAGUUUCCCCCUUUUUCUUUUUUUCAUUGUUUCCAAGUACAUUGAACAAUGGCUUGAACAUAUUUGUAAAUUUCAUGAAGUGACGGGAGCAAAUCACAUUCUGUACAAACAGCAUCUUGUUUAUCAUGGUCAUCAUCACAAUUUUCACAUGUUCUCUCAAGUUUGUUAUGACUUUCAUGUCCUCUGAACAUACAUUGACAUAGUAAAGGCUUAUCAUUGUUAUAAAACUGACCAGCCAUUAUGAAGCAUGUAUACAGAUAUAUUUUAGAAUUAAAUGUAAAGUGUAAAAUAUGUUGAUUUAAAGAAGCAAAACAUGUUGCAGACGUCUGUCUCCAUUUUUUGUGUAGAUAAACAAAUGACUUUUUCUAUUUUUAAACUUUGGUGAGUUCUAAAAAGGGAAAUAACUC